CCCUUAGAUGUUCUGGGCCACACGCGCGCUACACUGUUCGACGCAGCGAGUCUUAACCUUGACCGAAAGGUUUGGGUAAUCUUCAGCAAAGUCGAACGUGAUGGGGAUCGAUCAUUGCAAUUAUUGAUCGUGAACGAGGAAUUCCUAGUAAGUGCAAGUCAUCAGCUUGCGCUGAUUACGUCCCUGCCCUUUGUACACACCGCCCGUCGCUACUACCGAUUGAAUGGUUUAGUGAGAUCUCUGGAUUGACGCUGGCUAGGGGGCGACCCUUGGCCAGACUGCUCGAGAAACUGCUCAAACUUGAUCAUUUAGAGGAAGUAAAAGUCGUAACA
This 332-nucleotide ribosomal RNA is filed under the name uncultured eukaryote. Its description in RNAcentral is "partial 18S ribosomal RNA". It matches the Rfam family "Eukaryotic small subunit ribosomal RNA", at positions 1470 to 1796 of the family's 1831-position model. The record is from RNAcentral.